AUGCACGCUGGCGGCGUGCCUAAUCCCUGCAAGUCGAGCGCACAGAUAAGGAGCUUGCUCCUUUGACGUUAGCGGCGGACGGGUGAGUAACACGUGGGUAACCUACCUAUAAGACUGGGAUAACUUCGGGAAACCGGAGCUAAUACCGGAUAACAUUUGGAACCGCAUGGUUCUAAAGUGAAAGAUGGUUUUGCUAUCACUUAUAGAUGGACCCGCGCCGUAUUAGCUAGUUGGUAAGGUAACGGCUUACCAAGGCAACGAUACGUAGCCGACCUGAGAGGGUGAUCGGCCACACUGGAACUGAGACACGGUCCAGACUCCUACGGGAGGCAGCAGUAGGGAAUCUUCCGCAAUGGGCGAAAGCCUGACGGAGCAACGCCGCGUGAGUGAUGAAGGGUUUCGGCUCGUAAAACUCUGUUAUUAGGGAAGAACAAACGUGUAAGUAACUGUGCACGUCUUGACGGUACCUAAUCAGAAAGCCACGGCUAACUACGUG
This 496-nucleotide ribosomal RNA is filed under the name uncultured bacterium. RNAcentral's name for it is "partial 16S ribosomal RNA". It matches the Rfam family "Bacterial small subunit ribosomal RNA", at positions 29 to 507 of the family's 1533-position model. The record is from RNAcentral.